This 262-nucleotide long non-coding RNA is filed under the name Hordeum vulgare. Its description in RNAcentral is "long non-coding RNA (HVUL_LNC000084)". The record is from RNAcentral. Lineage: Eukaryota; Viridiplantae; Streptophyta; Magnoliopsida; Poales; Poaceae.
UGCUUUAGUGGGAUUCAAACUAGCGACAUGAGGUGCCCACCACAUUAACCAACUGCACCAGUCGACUCUCGUAGGAAAAAUUGAGCUACAUAGUAUUUAUACACUAUAAUGGACGACAUUUUUUUCAUACAUGUCCCAAUGGUCGACUCUCGUGAUACAGAGGACAUUGAUUUGCACGGUGUUCGACGUGGAGUGUUUGAGUCAUGCUUAUGAGGCUAGAUUGGUGUGAUAUUAUUAUUUUUCUCUCGUUGCAACCCACGGG